RNAcentral lists this ribosomal RNA (120 nucleotides) under Pteropus alecto (black flying fox). The record is from RNAcentral. Lineage: Eukaryota; Metazoa; Chordata; Mammalia; Chiroptera; Pteropodidae.
GUCUAUGGCCAUGCCACGCUGAAUGUGCCCGAUGUCAUCUUGAUCUUGGAAGCUAAGCAGGGUCGGGCCUGGUUAGUACUUAGAUGGGAGACCACCUUGGAAUACCAGGUGCUGUGGGCA